RNAcentral lists this ribosomal RNA (1438 nucleotides) under metagenome. RNAcentral's name for it is "bacterial LSU rRNA". It matches the Rfam family "Bacterial large subunit ribosomal RNA", at positions 1497 to 2925 of the family's 2925-position model. The record is from RNAcentral.
GGUGGAUAUGUUGGUUCAAGCUUGUAGUCGUGCCUGGUAGGUAAAUCCGCCGGGCAUAGAUGAGGAGUGAUAACGAGGCUGCUUGCAGCCGAAGUGAGUGAUACCCUGCUUCCAGGAAAAGCCACUAAGCUUCAGCUACACACGACCGUACCGCAAACCGACACUGGUGCGCGAGAUGAGUAUUCUAAGGCGCUUGAGAGAACUCAGGAGAAGGAACUCGGCAAAUUGACACCGUAACUUCGGAAGAAGGUGUGCCUUUAGUAGGUGAAGGGAUUUACUCCUGGAGCCCAAUGAGGUUGCAAAAAAUCGGUGGCUGCGACUGUUUAUUAAAAACACAGCACUCUGCAAACACGAAAGUGGACGUAUAGGGUGUGACGCCUGCCCGGUGCUGGAAGAUUAAAUGAUGGGGUGCAAGCUCUUGAUUGAAGUCCCAGUAAACGGCGGCCGUAACGAUAACGGUCCUAAGGUAGCGAAAUUCCUUGUCGGGUAAGUUCCGACCUGCACGAAUGGCGUAACGAUGGCCACACUGUCUCCUCCUGAGACUCAGCGAAGUUGAAAUGUUUGUGAUGAUGCAAUCUCCCCGCGGAAAGACGGAAAGACCCCAUGAACCUUUACUGUAGCUUUGUAUUGGACUUUGAACAGAUCUGUGUAGGAUAGGUGGGAGGCUUUGAAGUAGGGUCGCUAGAUCUUAUGGAGCCAACGUUGAAAUACCACCAUGGUGUGUUUGAGGUUCUAACCUAGGUCCAUUAUCUGGAUCGGGGACAGUGCAUGGUAGGCAGUUUGACUGGGGCGGUCUCCUCCCAAAGCGUAACGGAGGAGUUCGAAGGUGCGCUAGUUACGGUCGGACAUCGUGACGAUAGUGCAAUGGCAUAAGCGUGCUUAACUGCGAGACUGACAAGUCGAGCAGAUGCGAAAGCAGGACAUAGUGAUCCGGUGGUUCUGUAUGGAAGGGCCAUCGCUCAACGGAUAAAAGGUACUCUGGGGAUAACAGGCUGAUAUCGCCCAAGAGUUCAUAUCGACGGCGGUGUUUGGCACCUGAUGUCGGCUCAUCUCAUCCUGGGGCUGUAGCCGGUCCCAAGGGUAUGGCUGUUCGCCAUUUAAAGAGGUACGUGAGCUGGGUUUAAAACGUCGUGAGACAGUUUGGUCCCUAUCUUCCGUGGGCGCUGCAGAUUUGAGGAAGCCUGCUCCUAGUACGAGAGGACCGGAGUGGACACACCUCUGGUGUAUCGGUUGUCACGCCAGUGGCAUUACCGAGUAGCUAAGUGUGGAAGAGAUAACCGCUGAAAGCAUCUAAGCGGGAAACUCGUUUCAAGAUGAGAUCUGCCGGGGCCUUGAGCCCCCUAAAGAGUCGUUCAAGACCAGGACGUUGAUAGGUCAGGUGUGGAAGCGCAGUAAUGCGUUAAGCUAACUGAUACUAAUUGCUCGUGCGGCUUGACCU